CGUGCCCUAAAGCGGCGGACUGGUGAGUAACGCGUGGGUGACCUGCCUUGAGUGCCGGGGAUAGCUGUUAGAAAUAGCAGGUAAUACCGGAUAAUAACAUUAGGCUAUGGUUUCGAUGAGGAAAGGGGCUACGUGCCCCGCCUUAAGACGUGGGCCCGCGUCCCAUUAGCUAGUUGGUAAGGUAAACGGCCUACCAAGGGCGAAGAUGGGUACGCCGGCCUGAGAGGGUGAACGGCCACACUGGGACUGAGAUACGGCCCAGACUCCUACGGGAGGCAGCAGCUAAGAAUAUUCCGCAAUGGACGAAAGUCUGACGGAGCGACGCCGCGUGUAUGAGGAAGGCCGAAAGGUUGUAAAGUACUUUUGCGAAUGAAGAAUAAUGCGGGUAGGGAAUGACCUGCAGAUGACGUUAGUUUGCGAAUAAGCCCCGGCUAAUUAC
Molecule: ribosomal RNA, 439 nt
Filed under: uncultured bacterium
Lineage: Bacteria
Description: bacterial SSU rRNA
Rfam family: Bacterial small subunit ribosomal RNA
Source: RNAcentral